Molecule: ribosomal RNA, 725 nt
Filed under: Analges macropus
Lineage: Eukaryota; Metazoa; Arthropoda; Arachnida; Sarcoptiformes; Analgidae
Description: partial large subunit ribosomal RNA
Source: RNAcentral
GAUUUCAUAGAUAUUUUUAAAUGUUGAAAUUUUUUAAAAUAUUUUUGGGGAGUGAUACGCUUUAGUUUCUUAGGUUAUCUAGUUUGUCUUGUUUAAAAGGGAAACCUUUUUAAUUUUUUAGGUUCUGUGUUUAUUGUGUUUUUUUUAAUAGUAAGUGAUUGUGUAAUAACUUGUUGGUUUAUUUUAUCUGAAAAUUUUAUUUGUUUCAUAACGUUGACGAUCAAUUAGUAGAUUAGUAGAUUAUUGAGAUUUGUCUUGAUAGUUUUUUGAAUUUUAUUGUUUAAAAUUAUUUAUUUUUACUGAUUUUUUCUUAGAUUGGUUAAUAAAAUCUUAGCUACAAAAUUUGUAGUUAUUUCUGCUCUAUGCGAAAAGUAAAUGGCUGUUUUGACACUAAGGUAGCGAAAUCAUUAGUUAUUUAAUUGAUAACUUGUAUGAAUGAAUUUUCUAAGAGAAUAUUAAUUUUCUUUUUGAACUUAUAAAUUUAUUGAAAAUAAUAAAUUUUCCUAUAAGACUAAAAGACCCUAAAAUUUUUAUAACCCUGGUGUGGGUUAUUUGGUUGGGGCAAUAAUAAAAAGUUAAUUCUAAAUAAUUUUUUUUUCUUUGAACUUUUUUUAUUGAUAAAAGGUAAAAUACUUUAGGGAUAACAGCUUAAUUAUUUUUAAGAGUUCUUAUUAUUAAAAUAGAUUUAGACCUCGAUGUUGGAUUGGGGUGACUUUCUGGGGCAG